This 220-nucleotide ribosomal RNA is filed under the name uncultured bacterium. RNAcentral describes it as "partial 16S ribosomal RNA". It matches the Rfam family "Bacterial small subunit ribosomal RNA", at positions 111 to 334 of the family's 1533-position model. The record is from RNAcentral.
UAAUGUAUGGGGAUCUGCCCGAUAGAGGGGGAUAACGACUGGAAACGGUGGCUAAUACCGCAUAAUGUCUACGGACCAAAGCAGGGGCUCUUCGGACCUUGCACUAUCGGAUGAACCCAUAUGGGAUUAGCUAGUAGGUGGGGUAAAGGCUCACCUAGGCGACGAUCUCUAGCUGGUCUGAGAGGAUGAUCAGCCACACUGGGACUGAGACACGGCCCAG